Molecule: long non-coding RNA, 382 nt
Filed under: Setaria italica (foxtail millet)
Lineage: Eukaryota; Viridiplantae; Streptophyta; Magnoliopsida; Poales; Poaceae
Description: long non-coding RNA (SITA_LNC003902)
Source: RNAcentral
GGGGACGUCUUCGGCGCCGCACACUGACGAGGUUUUCCCUGCCUAACGAGGUCAGUUUCGCAUCUCAUCGCUAUCCAUAUAGUACAGUGUUUCAUUCAACUUGUUCGGAUUUCAAAUUGUUGCACGGAAUCUUUUAAAAAAAAUAAAUUGCUACACGCAGACCGCAGAUAUUUUAAAUUUUGGAUGCAGAUUGGAUUGGACAGGGCUUACGGAAAAAAAAUACUGUAGGAGCAGUUCGCACUGUAGCACGGCCUGUUCUUGCUGCAGCUGUGCAUCCUAUCAUCAUUGGAUCCGACAAAUGACGAACCAUGCUGUGGUCUGUGGAAGGUAGUGAUCGGUGACCUCAUGCAUUACAUAUCGCGAAAAGGAUACCGGACAGUCG